This 253-nucleotide ribosomal RNA is filed under the name uncultured bacterium. RNAcentral's name for it is "partial 16S ribosomal RNA". It matches the Rfam family "Bacterial small subunit ribosomal RNA", at positions 524 to 776 of the family's 1533-position model. The record is from RNAcentral.
UACAGAGGUCUCAAGCGUUGUUCGGAUUCAUUGGGCGUAAAGGGUGCGUAGGCGGCGCGGUAAGUCGGGUGUGAAAUCUCGGAGCUUAACUCCGAAACUGCAUUCGAUACUGCCGUGCUUGAGGACUGGAGAGGAGACUGGAAUUUACGGUGUAGCGGUGAAAUGCGUAGAUAUCGUAAGGAAGACCAGUGGCGAAGGCGGGUCGCUGGGCAGUAACUGACGCUGAGGAGCGAAAGCGUGGGGAGCGAACAGG